Molecule: long non-coding RNA, 2016 nt
Organism: Anas platyrhynchos (mallard)
Lineage: Eukaryota; Metazoa; Chordata; Aves; Anseriformes; Anatidae
Source: RefSeq, a predicted model, not a curated record
CAGGAAAACUGUCAAAAAUGUUUAGUUCUGCUUGGGUUGAGUUAAUUACAGGCCCUGGGGCUGUGUUGACUUUCUCCUGCUAAUGGCACUGUGCUACAGGUAAAAAUCCAUUUGCAAGAAUGUUUUCAGAGCUACAGAUCUAAUUUACUGAAUAUCAAAUAUUUAUGCCAUUGCAAUUAAAGUGACAAUGUUCCACCCCUCUUCACCAUGCAAGCUUGGGCUUUUUAAUAGAAUUUAUUAUACAGUAAACAUUUGGUAAAAAGUUUUGCUCGAGCUUAUAAUGUGAAAGCUUUGAAUAUUUUAUUGAUUUUAUUUCUUUUGCACUCAAUUCCUAUCAACACUGGAACGUUAUGAACUUCUGCAGCACGUAAAAAACCAUUUUUUACUGUCAGAGCCCUGCAAGCAUGCAUGGCAAGGCUGGGGCUGAAGGAUGGAGGCUUCGUCUUCGCUGUAUUUUUUGCAGGGAGGAAGAGAAGGAACUGAGGAGGGACAAAGUGUCAGGACCAGUCUGCCAAGGCUGGGGAAGCACAAGGAAAGCCAUUUUUACAUUGACACAGGGGAUGGGUAGGACCCUGGGGGACCUGCGCUGGUGGCGCUGGAUACCCACAGCCACCCAGGGACCCGCUCCUAGAGCCCUGAGGUUUUAACGAGCACCUCGGGAGCCUGUGAGGCUAAUGAGGCCUUUGGUGACAAACGGCAGAGUGGAGGGAGGGGAGAGGAUUGCUUUCUCCUCAGCUGUUUUGUUUUGCUUUGUUUUAUUUAACAGCAGAGAUAAGGUUGCGAAUUCUGUGCUUGGGGCACUUUGUGCGGCUCCUCUGAAUUUACCAAGCCCUCCCCACUCUCACCAGGAGAGCAUCUGCCCACUAUUUGGCUAUAUAAAUCUGCUGAACAUCCAUGUAGCAUGGUGGUUUCCAACACACCAGGUCUGACCGAGCUGUGGUCACCCAUGCAGGAGGGAUGUCCCACAGGCACAUGUUGUGCUGCUCGUGUCCCUGGUGGUCCUUCCGCAGAUGCAUUGAGCUGCAAACACCAAACAGAACACGUUGGCUCCUCCACAUUUAGUCCCCAGCCCAAAUAUGCCCCAGAACCAUGCAUCCAUGCCCCAUCACCCUGGCUCUGCGGUGACCAAGGUGCAGCCCACCCCUCCUGCCCUGACUCCUCCGUUCCCACCUCUGCCAAAUCUCUCCUCUGGGCACCGUCACCUCACCUUCACACCAAGCCUCCUGCCUCCUGCCUGGCGCUGAGGCCUCACGUGGCAUCACGGUGUCGCUGAGGAUGCUGCUGAAGUGCUCCUGGGAGUCAAGCCCCUGCCCAGCACCCUGAGGACAGCCUUAUUCUUGCCAACGUCCCUGCUGGGGAGGGCAAGGAGUGAAUGAAACCAGGACGACGUGAGAGGAGUUGUGCUUGGUGCAAGCCAGGUGUGGUGGGACCUCGGGAAGGGGAUGGGUGCAGGGCUGGCAGGAGCUGAGACAGAAGCCUUGCUGGGCAGUGAAAAAUGUGGAAAAUUGCUCCAGAUUAAAGGGUCUGAAGGUGGUUUGGUGGUUGGCAGUUCGAAGUUGCUGUGGAUGCUGCUUCAAACACAGGCUGCUCAGGUGUAAUGCUCGGCAGGUACUUGCACAUCCCAUCACCUCACAUCCCCACCAGAGGCAGAGGGCAGCACAGCCUCUGGGGAGAAGCAGGGAAAGGAAGGAAGGACAUGAGGAUCCCAUCCUGGAAAACGUCCUCCUCAUGGAGCCAAGCUCCAAUGGAUCCCAUACAGCUCGUGUAGACUUGGUGUUACUCAGCAGCGUCACAACCUGCUCACAGCCACCCUACUGAGGAAAACAUCAACUUGGGAUAGUCUGUGCCUCACGUCCAGGCUUGGGGGUGACUCAGGUAAAACCUGGGGAGAAGAAAAUCUCACCUAACCAUUACUGGACCCCACGAAGCCUCUGUCAGCCUGCAGUCAGGUAGCCAGAGGUCAGGACAUUUCUGUCUCCAGUAACACCAUCGGGUAGAGCAGCCAUACCUACCUUA